Molecule: long non-coding RNA, 344 nt
Organism: Mytilus trossulus (common blue mussel)
Lineage: Eukaryota; Metazoa; Mollusca; Bivalvia; Mytilida; Mytilidae
Exons: 3
Source: RefSeq, a predicted model, not a curated record
AGCGAAUUCGUUUCCUACCAAAUGUUCAAAUGAUAAAAGCUGUCCUGGAAACCUGAAAUGCUGUAAUCAAGGAUGUUCAAUCGAUUGCACAAAUCCAGGGAAUCCAUGUCCACCAGAACCCGUAUGUCCGUCAUCUCCUGUAGGACCAGGGGAUUGUGAACCGAAGUGUAUAUUUGAGUAUGUGACAAGUACAAAUGGGGUCAGAUGUAAGGUUGCUUGUACUAGGGGUCCACUUGGUCCUCGACCUGGUCCUGAUCACCCUUGUCUACCGACAGAGUGUCCUUUAAUUGGUCAAGGAAAUGACCAGGGAGUAUCAGCUCUGCCACCACCUCUACCAGUUCAAC